RNAcentral lists this ribosomal RNA (253 nucleotides) under uncultured bacterium. RNAcentral describes it as "partial 16S ribosomal RNA". It matches the Rfam family "Bacterial small subunit ribosomal RNA", at positions 524 to 776 of the family's 1533-position model. The record is from RNAcentral.
UACGGAGGAUGCAAGCGUUAUCCGGAAUGAUUGGGCGUAAAGCGUCCGCAGGUGGCAAUGUAAGUCUGCUGUCAAAGCGUCUGGCUCAACCAGAUAAAGGCAGUGGAAACUACAUAGCUAGAGUAAGGUAGGGGUAGAGGGAAUUCCUGGUGUAGCGGUGAAAUGCGUAGAGAUCAGGAAGAACACCGGUGGCGAAAGCGCUCUGCUGGACCUUAUCUGACAUUGAGGGACGAAAGCUAGGGGAGCGAAUGGG